RNAcentral lists this ribosomal RNA (235 nucleotides) under uncultured Leptotrichia sp. RNAcentral's name for it is "partial 16S ribosomal RNA". It matches the Rfam family "Bacterial small subunit ribosomal RNA", at positions 28 to 264 of the family's 1533-position model. Lineage: Bacteria; Fusobacteriati; Fusobacteriota; Fusobacteriia; Fusobacteriales; Leptotrichiaceae. The record is from RNAcentral.
GAUGAACGCUGACAGAAUGCUUAACACAUGCAAGUCGAUGGGGAAGUGGUGCUUGCACCAUGGUAACCAUGGCGGACGGGUGAGUAACGCGUAAGGAACUUGCCUGCGGGACUGGGAUAACAGCAGGAAACUGCUGAUAAUACCGGAUAAGGUCAUUAAGCUGCAUAGCUUAGCGAUGAAAGGAGACUCCUGCGGAGAGCCUUGCGUCCCCUUAGUUAGUUGGAGGGGUAACUGC